This 1802-nucleotide ribosomal RNA is filed under the name Triticum aestivum (bread wheat). RNAcentral's name for it is "partial small subunit ribosomal RNA". The record is from RNAcentral. Lineage: Eukaryota; Viridiplantae; Streptophyta; Magnoliopsida; Poales; Poaceae.
UUUUGUAGGAGAGAGCUAGGUAGGGGAUUGCUGCCUUGGGCGUAUCCGUGUAUGCGUGCGGUGUCCAAGGAGUAGGAGGGGGGCUAACGGGGUUACGGUGGACGUUCGGUACCCCCGGCGGGGGAUCUACGUAACGGCCAGGAAGAGGUGCGCGGUGGCGGAGGGAAUGCUCCUGUGGGGCGGUACCCAGAGUCAACCGCGGUGCUGCCGGUACCGGAGGGGUGGGCGGCUACGAGGUCUAGGUCGGUAGCAACUGGAGGAGAUGUAGUCAAUAGGCAGUUCCAUCCCCCGCACCGAGAUAAAUAGAAGGGCGCACGUGGCACAGGCACAUAGGAUCCCGUUCCCACGAACACUCUAGCCCUCUACUAGUUUUCCUCCUUCUCCUCUAGGUACCAACCCCUAUGUAGGUUGCUGGAUCCGUAGUAGGACUGCAGCAUGAGCUUCGGGCGUAGGUGACGGAGGAGUUAGAUACAAUCAGACGUCGUCGUUCCUCUAUCUUUCCUCCCAGUCGUACUUACCUUGCAUAGGGGAAGGUCUCCUGAGCGGGAUUGAUCGGACGUGCACGAGACAUACUAUACACCACCUACCCCUUCGCCUCCGCUGCUGACCACCAACAAGACAAAUAUGGACCGUACCAAGUCUCCGAUACCUCUUCCGCAAAAAAGUGAGCAUAAACCACUAUCCCAUCGCAUGUACUUGUCUUUUUAACAUCUUCCGCUCCUCCUGUUAUACUCGCUCGUUUGUAAUACACCCAUAACUCUACAUCUAGGUGGAAGUGGCCGUAGUAUGCGAACAGACACUGGAGGGUGGUCGCUGCGGGACUCCAGUGGGUGUGUUCGCUGGUUCGUUAAGGUGCAACAGUGGGACGAUGAAGCGGUUCCUGUAGUUCCUCCAGCACCUACUCUCGAUGACAGGAGGAGCCUCUUGAACGGUCACGGGGUACGCAUACUUCUUCUCCCUUCUGUGAGCGUACCUACGAGUUCCUUUAUGUGGUCUAGCCCGCUCCCUGUACUAAACCCUACGCCGGCGCACAACCCGCGUGGGUGCUGGGUUGCCUGUCCCCACUUGGGUAACGGCGGGGUUUCCUUGUUUUAGGCCGGUUUGGCCUGCAGGCACGCCACCUCAACCGGAAUACACACUGUGGGUUAUACACUUAACAAGUGAAAGUGCGUCCAGUCACUAGCGGACUAGCCAAACACUACUAUAACUUACCUAUGAGACUUUCAACCCUUGUGUUUGAUCUCAUACCACUUGAAUUAAAGCGAGCUUGCAACUGACACCAGUUCUUUUUCUCCCUGAUGUUCAACGUCCACCUCAGCGUACCUCAGAAAACUCAUCGUCGUUAUGAUACCCUAUUUGAGUUCAGGUUACAUGUACUUUCAAACUGUGUACCUGCUUAAGUCCCACCACCUCUUAUAAGCGGUUCCACCUCAAACAACCUUAAUACAGCUUAUAUCACAUGUUCCACUUAUAUCUCAGCACAGGUUCAUCCUGUGAACAUAGGAUCCGGAAAGUAUAUAUUACUCCCAUCUGUGUGCUACAUUGUAUACGGUUGUAUUAUCGUGUUCGUGUGUCGUUCACGGUUGCCGGUGACGGCCGUGGGCCUCCCGACAACACGCCAUAACAUCGUCACAGUGCUCCUCCUCGUGGACAUCAGUUGGGGCCCCUACAUCGGUAUAGCUACUUGGAGCAAUUGUUUAGAGCCGCAGCACGGAGAACACUAACGAACCAGGAACCUACUAGCUGAUGCGCGGAACCAAAUUAAGAUUGUUAUACAACAAAAAUUAAUUACCUAUUAUAGU